Molecule: long non-coding RNA, 2584 nt
Organism: Solanum tuberosum (potato)
Lineage: Eukaryota; Viridiplantae; Streptophyta; Magnoliopsida; Solanales; Solanaceae
Exons: 4
Source: RefSeq, a predicted model, not a curated record
CAAGGGUACAUCUGUCAUUUUACUUCAAAGAAAAGACAAAAUAGAUGGCAAAUCCGUCAUCUUACUUAAAACACAAAAUAGAUAAUUAACUUUUUCUCAACAUUUCCAGAAGAAUCCAUUCUUUCAUAUCUUUGUACCAACAAUGGAGAGACAUCCACUCCUUCACAAGUAUUCAGAAGUCUCUUUUCUCCAAACUUGAAUUGAAGGCCUGCUCAUUAACUUCAUCUUCUCAGCUGGGUAUGCAUUUUUAGGUCAGCUUUUGUUUCAUUAUUUGCCCUAAUCUACUCUUGAAAAGAGAUUAAAGUUUACAAUUUCAUAAUUGAGUUUGAGAUUAAGGCGUACAAAUUAUUGUUGUAUUCUUAUAUAUAUUCAAAUUUUGGCGCAAGUGGAAGAGGCGUUGUCCAUGGUUUACAUAUACAGAUCCCCGAUCAUGUUUGUGGGAUGUGGUUAGUUCUACACACGGAAAAUUCAGUUUAGUUUUUUCUCCCAAUUUUUUCUCUUGGUUCUGUCAUAUUUUUUCAAUUUUAUGAGUUAAGUUCAAGUCUGCUAUAGUAAUUGUUCUGCCUUAACUCUCUCUAUGUUCUUCCACAUUCAUUUUCAUUUUUGGAUCCAACGAAGACCUCAAAAUUUAUGUCGGUAUUUUCCUUCAUUGAAUUACUUUUUUUUAUCUUCUUCUCAUUGUGUAGAUGCCCUUUGAAUCUUGAACUUUCUUCUAGGAAAAAGUGUUUGAUUGGUAGUAGUGAUGGACUACUCUUUCUUUUUUUAUCUUUAUCGCAUAAAGAUAGACUGCUCCCUUCUCCGGUAUCAGAAAGAACUUGGACACUCUACAAGACAAAUUCAAGUGCAGUGGCAGAUUUUCUUGCCUCUUUUCUAACAAUCGCAAUAGGUACUAUCAUGCUUUCAUUUCAAAAUUAGCUUUAAUGUUGGAAAUUCGAGUAUCCUGAAUAACAAUUGAUAGUUUUUACUGAACGGCUCUAAAUGUCUAUAUACCUAGCUUACUAAUUGUCUUCAAGUUUGAUGUAAAGACUAAAGACUGACUGAACAGUACAGUGAAGGAUGUUUGCUUAAAGAAAUGAAUAAUAGACCUAUUUUCUAGAGGGAAGUGUCGAUACAUAUACGGGUUAAUUAAGAUUGCGGCUCUAUUGACUAACUUUGAUUCUUGAAUCUAAACUUAGUGCAACAUUCUAAUAAAGAUACUCCUUUGAUGAUGAAUGAAGAAUGACAAUGAUAUUUCUAUAUAGGCUAAUAUCGCACUCUAACUUAUCACCAUUUUCUAACAUACAGAGACUUUUUUUGUCUAUUGAAUUUGUUUUCUCCACUGUUUUUAAAUCAGUCUCUUAUGUCUUUCAUGCUAGCUACUAAGAGAGAACCAUGUAGCUAUUGUUGACUAAUACUGAUUCUCUGCUUAUCUUCUACUACUACUAAUCAUGAUAAAAAAAAUGUAGUUUGGUGUACACAUUAGGUGUCGGUAACUUUUUUCCUUCAAACUAUUCCAGCGAAGAAGGCAAGUGUUAGAGCAACAGUAAAAUUGUCUCUAUCUGACCUAUGGUCACUGGUUCAAGUCAUGGGAUCAACCAUUUAUUCUUGUGUCAAGGUGAACCAAGAAAAUAAAAAAUGUUGGAUGCAUAAAAAUAUAAGCUAUAAUUAAUCUCUCUUUUUCGAAGACAAACGCCCUAAGCUCUAAAUUUUGGGGGACCUAAUAUUUUUAUCAAGAAGAAGAUAUAUGAUGUGCACGUUAGAGGGAUAGUUUAUUGUCUAGCUAUUGAAAAGUAAUACCACAACCAGGUAGUCAUUAUGGAGUAUUUCAAACUGUGUCCAAGGGAAAAAAACAUAAGCACAUGAGAGGUUCACAAGAAGAAGGAAAUAGUCCAGGUUCAACUUAAAAGCUAAGUUGGACAAACAUCUCAAUCUUGAAUAUUCAUCUUCUGCAAUCAUUUUGUGCCUCACUUCGGAGUGUACCUUAAUUUUUUCUCCAUUCUUGCACCAGACUGUUCUAUUAUUUAUGGUGAGUUUCGUUUGAAUUUUGUUUCCUCUUUUGUGUUUGUAUUGUAUCGACUAAUAUGCACAUGUAGAGCUAUUUCUUCUUAUCUCUUGCUCCGAUCUUUUGUAGUUCAUGUGAAUUUAGUUCAUUGUGGGAUGAAUUGAACUUCAAUCUCUGAAAAUAAGUGUUAUCUAUCUUCUUAUAUUUCAAUACUCUAUUUUAGUUGUUGUUUUCCUUUUUGGUAUGUGUAUGUGUUCGUUAAUAAAAGUUUUUGUUUGUUCUUUCUUAAAAAUAUAAGAAGCUAUUUUCAUAUGUCGCAAAAUUAAAUAACAUAGUGCUUUUGGAAGGUUCAAAUUCCAGUGGAGCUAGAUCAAAACACUAUAGGUUAGUGUAAGGUGGCUUGGACACUGCAAUUGGACAACCCUAUGAAUAUUCGAUCAUAUCUUCUAACUCCCCAACCAUUCAAAUUUCUCCCAAGAAUAAUAUUACGUCAGUUAUUGCUUUAUAUACUUUGAUAGACAAUAUUUUCCUUCAUGUUGAACUGCUCCAAUGGAUCUAAAAUUCAAAUGACAAGCAAAACAAGUUUUUCACAAACUACAGGAC